CGACCUCAGAUCAGACGAGACGACCCGCUGAAUUUAAGCAUAUUACUAAGCGGAGGAAAAGAAACUAACCAGGAUUCCCUCAGUAGCGGCGAGCGAAGAGGGAAGAGCCCAGCGCCGAAUCCCCCGUCCCCUCGCGGGCGCGGGGAAAUGUGGCGUACGGAAGUCCGCAUCGCCCGGCGCGGGCCGGGGGCCUGAGUCCUUCUGAUGGAGGCUCAGCCCGUGGACGGGGUGAGGCCGGUAACGGCCCCCGCCCCGCCCGGGACGCGGCUUUCCCGGAGUCGGGUUGCUGGGAAUGCAGCCAAAGGCAGGGGGUAACUCAUCUAAAGGCUAAAAUAAA
This 337-nucleotide ribosomal RNA is filed under the name Ictalurus punctatus (channel catfish). Its description in RNAcentral is "eukaryotic LSU rRNA". It matches the Rfam family "Eukaryotic large subunit ribosomal RNA", at positions 1 to 325 of the family's 3401-position model. The record is from RNAcentral. Lineage: Eukaryota; Metazoa; Chordata; Actinopteri; Siluriformes; Ictaluridae.